CUUGGGUAUACCAGCUGGUGGGAGUAUAAUUUGUUCUGAGGGCUGGUAAUUUGGUUUUCCUAAAUUUCUCUAUCAGUCUUUGCCCUGAUGCCUGUCUCUAGGAUGAGAAAACUGAGGACUAGAGAAGUUUAUGAAUAAGCCUCAAAUCAUCUACAAAGUAAACCUGAGAGACAAUAUUUAAACUCAGGCAAUCAAAAUCAAUAGUUCCUGGUCUCACGGCUGUCUCAUGCUAAUACAGUGCAUAAGUCCAGGUGAAAUUCCAACCAGCAGCUGCAUGAACUCUUACCUAAACAGAUACACUCAGAAGACCCUGUGGCCCAGAUUCAAGUAACAUCAAAUGUUUUUUCAAAGCAUUCAUGGUGCUAGUCUCCAGGCAUGCCAUUUCCCAGAAGGUUCUUUUGUUUUAUCCUCCAAGACUCCCCUAAUUUUGGUUCCAUAUAUUUUUGCCUAUUAUCCUCAGGACCUUGCAUAAGUUUCCAGGUCUUAAUGUAAACUCUCAACAGGAUCUGAAGGGAGUGAAUUGUCAAUGGCUAACACUGUUGGGAAGUCUAUUAAAGAAACACUUUCCUUAUGAAGAGAAAAUCUGUUCCCUGCCUCUAAUCAUUCUUAGCUCCAG
This is a long non-coding RNA of Cervus elaphus (red deer), 616 nucleotides long. RefSeq lists it as uncharacterized. NCBI's taxonomy places the organism in Eukaryota, Metazoa, Chordata, Mammalia, Artiodactyla, Cervidae. The record is from RefSeq and is a predicted model, not a curated record. The transcript is spliced from 3 exons.